RNAcentral lists this ribosomal RNA (274 nucleotides) under uncultured bacterium. RNAcentral describes it as "partial 16S ribosomal RNA". It matches the Rfam family "Bacterial small subunit ribosomal RNA", at positions 523 to 796 of the family's 1533-position model. The record is from RNAcentral.
AUACGGAGGGAGCUAGCGUUGUUCGGAAUUACUGGGCGUAAAGCGCACGUAGGCGGAUUGGUCAGUUGGAGGUGAAAUCCCAGGGCUCAACCCUGGAACUGCCUUCAAUACUGCCAGUCUAGAGAUCGGAAGAGGUGAGUGGAAUUCCUAGUGUAGAGGUGAAAUUCGUAGACAUUAGGAGGAACACCAGUGGCGAAGGCGGCUCACUGGUCCGAUUCUGACGCUGAGGUGCGAAAGCGUGGGGAGCAAACAGGAUUAGAAACCCCAGUAGUCC